This 1010-nucleotide long non-coding RNA is filed under the name Bos indicus x Bos taurus (hybrid cattle). Its description in RNAcentral is "lncRNA (ENSBIXG00000019223.1)". The record is from RNAcentral. Lineage: Eukaryota; Metazoa; Chordata; Mammalia; Artiodactyla; Bovidae.
AUUUGGAAUUUUUGUUGUUGUUGUUGUUUAGUCACGAAGUCAUGUCUGACUCUUUGCAACCCCAUGGAUUGUAGCCCACCAGCCUCCUCUGGCCAUGGAAUUCUCCAGGCAAGAAUAGCGGAGCAGGUUGCCAUUUCCUACUCCAAGGGAUCCUCCAGACCCAGGGACUUAACCUGAGUCUCCUGCAUUGGUAGGCGGAUUCUUUAACACUGAGCCAUCAGGGAAGCCCAUUUGGGAUUGGAAUAAAGGAUUGGAGAUACUUUAUAUUCAUUGCGAUAACUUUGAUAAAGACAGAAAAGCAUCCUCAGAAACAAGCAAAAGGAUAGGGCAGCCCUGGUGGACUCUGCGUGGGCUGCCAUCACUUCACCGUCGUCCAUGGCCUGUGAGAGACUCGCCAGCGUGUGGAACGCCCGGCAGAGCUUUUACUUUUUCAACCUUGGCCACAAUGACUGGGAAACUGGGGCGGCUGUUCUCUCUCAAGAGCAAGCUGGAAAACACCAGAAGCAAAAUCUUGAUAAACAUUCUCCUGAGGCAGCUGCAAUUCCUACCUAAGUCAUGUCUACCCCAAAAUGUGUGUUUUUAUGUGUGUUUCCUGAAAGACUUUUGAAGGUGAGGAAUUUUACAGGGCAGUUCUCCUUUCAAUAUUCUGAAUUCUGUUGUGCAGAACUUAGCCUGAUGUGCUUGACAGCCUUGGUGACAAAAAGCACUAUAUAAAUGCAUCAUCAAUAUAAUAAUAUAAAUUGAAUUAGAAUGUUCAUUCUGUUCUGCCGAGUUUCUUUCCUGAGCUGAUUAUAUCUGAAAUAGCUCUUGUUAGAGGCUUUCUCAUUAUGAGGAACUCACUGUCCUGUUCCAGCCCUCCAUCAGGUACCACCUGUUUGACAUUUUGUAUUCUUUUUUUUUUCCCUAAGUUAAGUAGCCCACAUGAGGAUUUGAAGUGCAGAGUCAUGGCAUUAGAAUUACAACCUGCUGUUUCUCCUGAUUAAGUUUUUCUGUUAGUAAGUUAAGGUUGC